This 477-nucleotide ribosomal RNA is filed under the name Candidatus Scalindua brodae. RNAcentral's name for it is "bacterial SSU rRNA". It matches the Rfam family "Bacterial small subunit ribosomal RNA", at positions 365 to 832 of the family's 1533-position model. The record is from RNAcentral. Lineage: Bacteria; Pseudomonadati; Planctomycetota; Candidatus Brocadiia; Candidatus Brocadiales; Candidatus Scalinduaceae.
UUCGCAAUGCCCGAAAGGGUGACGAAGCGACGCCGCGUGGGUGAGGAAGGCCUUCGGGUUGUAAAGCCCUGUCAGGAGUUAAGAAAUGUAAGUGCGCUAAUAUCGCAUUUAUUUGACGAAGGCUCCAGAGGAAGUCACGGCUAACUCUGUGCCAGCAGCCGCGGUAAUACAGAGGUGGCAAGCGUUGUUCGGAAUUAUUGGGCGUAAAGAGCACGUAGGUGGGUUUGUAAGUCAGAUGUGAAAGCCUUCUGUUCAACGGAAGAAUUGCAUCUGAAACUGCGAGUCUUGAGUGUAGGAGGGGAGAAUGGAACUUCUGGUGGAGCGGUGAAAUGCGUAGAUAUCAGAAGGAACGCCGGCGGCGAAAGCGAUUCUCUGGCCUAUUACUGACACUCAGUGUGCGAAAGCUAGGGGAGCAAACGGGAUUAGAUACCCCGGUAGUCCUAGCCGUAAACGAUGGGCACUAAGUAGAGGGGUUUU